UUGAAUAGAAAAUGGACAGACAACAACGAAUGUUAUGAAUGUCUUGGUACCAAGGGAUGUUCCCGGCAACAAGUAUAUAUACAUUUGAUAGACAAACGGUUACUAGGUGGUUUGGUUUUGGCGGGAGUAACCGUCAAGUUUGAACCGUUUAACCAACCGUCACAACCGCUGGCCUACAUCGUUACAUACAUACAAAAAUAUACUGAAACAAUAAUAAUAAUGUAUAAUACAAAUAACUAUUGAAAUAUAAUUAUGUUUAUAUCUAUAUAUAUAACUAAUACUCUCCCCUAAACAUAAUUAUGUUUACGGGAGUUCUUGAUGACGAUGUAGUUAGCUUCAGUUAUAGCCUUCUUCGCCCUUGAGAAAUCGAACUUUUUCCUUUGUUUCAGUUUCUUGAGUCCAUGCCAAUCACCACCACCAUAGAAUGCAUAAUGAUCUUCAGCUUUGAAUUGUUUCCGACUGUUCUUGUAACCCACAGACUGUACCUGCUUGAUUUGUAAAUAAGGCAUAAUGUUUCACUUCCUUCUCCACUGCUCCGGUACUACUUGAACAUUCAGCAGUCUCCGUUUGACCUGCAUCAGUUAUAAUUUCCUUAUCUCCUUCGCUCAUGCUCUGUUUGGGAUCCACCGUCUUUUCUUCCUCUUUUCCGAUUGCCUUUUCCUGUGUUACCUUGAACUUGUAGUAGUGUACAAGUACGUCCAGAUACAUAGCGUAUAUCAGACGCAUGUAUUCACCAUCUUCAUACUCGAAUCCUGUAUCCUUUGCUAUCAUCACCCACAUACCAUUCUCAGUGAUUCGCCGGUGACCCCCUUCUCUCUUCACCGCCAUAUACAGGUCUAAUAAUCCCACUUUCCGAUUGUUUGUUGCAUAUGCAGGCAACGGUCUUGAGUGAAUUUCCAGUUUUUCUUUAAUAAACCAUUCUAUCAUGUUAUCGAAUGCAGUUUCAAGAUAAUAUUUAUACUUGAUGACAUAGUCUUCAUCUUCAAGCAUGUUAAGUAAAGCCUUGCAGUCUUGAAAGUUCUUAAAGGACAUUGCUUGUAAAAUCAGAAUGUUCCAGUCUGGUUCAUUGGUUGAGAUAUUUAAAUUUUCGAAGUAUUCAUUUAGAAAUUCUGUUUUGAAUUUCUCAUGAUCGGAAUUCUUACUAACCACAUAUUGCUUUUCUAAUUCUCCGAUCUCUUCUUCUUUCGUCAAACCGGUAUGACCAUUCCUUUUAUUGUAUACAGGAACACUAAAUGUUGGGAAUAAUUUAUAUACAUCACCCAUGAACUUCACUGUGAAUCCCUGAAUCAUUAAUUGAUCGAGACUCAAGACAUUUCUAUCAAUGUCUGGUGUGUAGAACACACUUUGUACUCGAAUCUUUUCGGAUCCUGUUAUAACAUCAACCACACCGAUUCCUCUAAUAAAGAAAAAAUUGUUUUCCCCCGUCUCCGUUUCAACACAUGACAUAUUUUUCAUACGUUUAAACAUGUCUAUAUUGCCAGAAAAGUGAUGUUUGAAAGUUUUACUAACAUACCAUAUAUCCGACCAGUAUCCACCGUCAAUUCCGAUCACCAUAUAUUCCUGUCUCUGAUUUAUUGACCGCUAAACAUAAUAACUGACUUUCUUCAUCCUUUUCCUUCUAUUGGCAUGCAGAAAUUUUGUGGCCUGGUCUGCUGCAGUAAUAGCAACAUCGCUGCAUCCAUUUUCGUUCACGUUUUUCUUCAGUGCAGUGCAUACAUGGCAUCACGGUUGACGACGGCUUUAAAUCAUCAUCACUAAUAUAACCGGCUCUGAUACCACUUGUUAGCGACAGCCGUUGAUCUUCAUCGUCAUUAUGUUGGGGUUUUGGUGGUUUAACACGAAACAGUGGAUUACUAACAGAAUUGGAAGACAAGAUUAUAACAGUGGGAAUGGAUAAACUUGAAUAGAAAAUGGACAGACAACAACGAAUGUUAUGAAUGUCUUGGUACUAAGGGAUGUUCCCGGCAACAAGUAUAUAUACAUUUGAUAGACAAACAGUUACUAGGUGGUUUGGUUUUGGCGGGAGUAACCGUCAAGUUUGAACCAUUUAACCAACCGUCACAACCGCUGGCCUACAUCGUUACAUACAUACAAAUAUACUGAAACAAUAAUAAUAAUGUAUAAUACAAAUAACUAUUGAAAUAUAAUUAUGUUUAUAUCUAUAUAUAUAACUAAUAAGUCUAAGUUCUCAUCUGAAACUUAAAUUUUAUGUUUUAUUUUAUAUAUUUGAUUUUCGUUUUGUAUUUCAGAGUUGUGAUUUUUGUUUGACAGCAAAAUGAAUAAACGAUGCACACAAAAUAAGAAAUUUUGAAUAAAUAACAGGAAAUGUGUUUCUGUAUUAUAAACCUAAACUUAUAGAAAUAGAAUUGUUAUAAGUGGA
Molecule: long non-coding RNA, 2380 nt
Filed under: Helianthus annuus (common sunflower)
Lineage: Eukaryota; Viridiplantae; Streptophyta; Magnoliopsida; Asterales; Asteraceae
Description: sRNA HanXRQr2_Chr14g0667321
Source: RNAcentral